UCGAACGAGAAAGUGGAGCAUCCAUGAGUACAGUGGCGUACGGGUGAGUAACACGUGGGUAAUCUACCUCUUAGUGUGGAAUAACUUUGGGAAACCGAAGCUAAUACCGCAUAAGCUCGAGAGAGGAAAGCAGCAAUGCGCUGAGAGAGGAGCCCGCGGCCGAUUAGCUAGUUGGCAGGGUAAAAGCCUACCAAGGCAUAGAUCGGUAGCCGGCCUGAGAGGGCACACGGCCACACUGGCACUGAAACACGGGCCAGACUCCUACGGGAGGCAGCAGUGGGGAAUCUUGCACAAUGGGGGAAACCCUGAUGCAGCGACGCCGCGUGAGCGAUGAAGCCCUUCGGGGUGUAAAGCUCUUUCGGCAGGGAAGAUAGUGACGGUACCUGCAGAAGCAGCUGCGGCUAACUACGUGCCAGCAGCCGCGGUAAUACGUAGGCAGCGAGCGUUGUUCGGAGUUACUGGGCGUAAAGGGUGUGUAGGCGGUUGUUUAAGUUUGGUGUGAAAUCUCCCGGCUCAACUGGGAGGGUGCGCCGAAUACUGAAUGACUUCGAGUGCGGGAGAGGAAAGUGGAAUUCCUGGUGUAGCGGUGAAAUGCGUAGAUAUCAGGAGGAACACCGGUGGUGUAGACGGCUUUCUGGACCGUAACUGACGCUGAGACACGAAAGCGUGGGUAGCAAACAGGAUUAGAUACCCUGGUAGUCCACGCCCUAAACGAUGCAUAUUUGGUGUGGGCAGUUCAUUCUGUCCGUGCCGGAGCUAACGCGUUUAAUAUGCCGCCUGGGGAGUACAGUCGCAAGGCU
Molecule: ribosomal RNA, 800 nt
Filed under: uncultured bacterium
Lineage: Bacteria
Description: bacterial SSU rRNA
Rfam family: Bacterial small subunit ribosomal RNA
Source: RNAcentral